CUUAUUGAUUCUAUUGCAGAUCUCAGUGUCUGAAGAGAGAUCUGAAAAUCCCUAAACAACUGCUUCCCGAAUCGUUGAUCCUGAGUGAAAGCAAGAACUAAAUGCUCGACAGAAACAAAUGAAUCCCGGUAGUCUUUCUUGUAUUCCCUAGCUCGCUGUAUCAAAGCCUCCAAGUCACGUCCUAACAUUGAACCAGCAGAUUCACCAAGAACCUUCGGUUGCCGUUGGAUAAACUUAUCAGUAGCUUCUAAAAGACGAGUAUUAUCAACCCCAGCUUUUGAAAAGAUCCGACGAGCAAGCCCAUUUUUCUGCUCCAAUAGAGCUUUCAUCAAAUGCUCUGUCUCCACUAUCUGAUGCUUGUUCUCUUUGGCUACAUCAGGAGAAGAAACAAUUCCUUGCCAUGCCAUUUCCGUAAAUUCUUGCUGAGUAAUCCUUCCAUUAGAGGCAUCACAUCUAACGACGAAGGACCUUCGAUUCCUCGAAAUCCUCUCAUAACCAAAGCCAGUCCUAUUCAACGAAAGACGCUUGAGAGAAUUCCGUUUUGCAGGGAAGCUUAAAGACUGCAAAAACAACGCGUUCCUAAUACUCUGAUGUGGAAACGGAGGACAAAGACUGAUUCCACUAAACGACGCCGUAGUUGUCGCAGCCAUUUCAGGAGCAGCGGGCAGAAGGAAGGAAUGCUUGACGAAAUCGAAAGACGAAUAAACACAAAAGAAAGCUAGGAGUUACAAGUAAUUAAAGAGAAAGGGAAAGGAUUUGGCGUGGGAAAGAAGGAAAUUAAAGAAAGAGAGGAAUUUGAAUUUUGAUGUUAAAGAGCAAGAAAUCAGAAUAAAGAGCUAGUGUUAUGGAGUGUUCGUGAAAGCUCGCUGCUUUGCUGGG
Molecule: unclassified non-coding RNA, 879 nt
Filed under: Hevea brasiliensis (rubber tree)
Lineage: Eukaryota; Viridiplantae; Streptophyta; Magnoliopsida; Malpighiales; Euphorbiaceae
Source: RNAcentral